CGCGUAGCCGGCCCUGCGAAUAUGGCGUCAGCUUCGGCUUCCGGUCUGAGGGCGCCGAGAGCCCAGCCAAACUCUGCGGACGGCCAUUCCUGGGUACCUUUCCUACGUUUUCGGCCUUUGGGCUGAGCCUUGGUAACCCCAGAGCUUGGUUGCAUGCCCACCGGCGACAAGUGGCUUUGCAUUGGGACAUGAAAGGGGACUGGAAAGUGCCGUGCAGUUUCAGGGUGAUUUCUGGUUAUUAUUACAUAUUCACGAGUUUUCGCAGAGUGUGGGGGCGAUUUGUGUCCUCCAGAGACCAGGGACCAGGGCCGAAGCUACGGCAGGGGAGACGCGGCCAGGGCUGUGGCUUCUUGUGCGAGCCCCGUUCGCGUCGCUUCCCGCCUGGCGCCAGGCGCCCUGGGAGCCCAGGGCCUUGAAUGAGACGGUGCUCGCCCUUGAAAAAGCAGUUCUAGGUCAUUCAGCCUGCUUUUCCAGCAUGCCGGGCCCCGGCUCACCUCUCGCCAUCCAUGUUGACAGCACCAGUUCUACUACGAAGCAGGAGAUUGCUCUUGCCUGGAAUUUCACUCGUCCCCGGUAUCGAACCUCCACCCCAAUUUUCUACCUUACAACUCUUGCGCAUUUUUAACGGCUCAGCCAAUAUUACCUGCCCCGUUCUGGAGCUCCUUAGGAGUGCAGGCUCUGGAACAGAAGGUGGAGUGGCUUACCUGAUUGGUGAUUUUGGAAGGAGAAACUGAGGACCUGAGGACCUGAGUUCAAUCCCUUUCCUCUCCCCUUCCUCUUGGGAGUGACUGGACUUUUCCAGGGCAGGCUCUGCCCCUUGUUGGGAAGCCUCUGUUGUUGGCCAGUGCUGCCACUUACGGGGAAUACGUCUAUCUGUCUGUCUGACUCUGUGCUUCUGUAUUAGGAAGUCCAUGCUUUGUUAUUAGUAAAGGUGACAUUUUGACCUCCA
Non-coding RNA from Saimiri boliviensis boliviensis (Bolivian squirrel monkey), 949 nucleotides. The record is from RefSeq and is a predicted model, not a curated record. Lineage: Eukaryota; Metazoa; Chordata; Mammalia; Primates; Cebidae.